RNAcentral lists this ribosomal RNA (239 nucleotides) under uncultured bacterium. RNAcentral describes it as "partial 16S ribosomal RNA". It matches the Rfam family "Bacterial small subunit ribosomal RNA", at positions 17 to 239 of the family's 1533-position model. The record is from RNAcentral.
ACAUGGCUCAGGAUGAACGCUGGCGGCGUGCUUAACACAUGCAAGUCGAACGGGAAAUAUUUCAUUGAGACUUCGGUGGAUUUGAUCUAUUUCUAGUGGCGGACGGGUGAGUAACGCGUGGGUAACCUGCCUUAUACAGGGGGAUAACAGUCAGAAAUGGCUGCUAAUACCGCAUAAGCGCACAGAGCUGCAUGGCUCAGUGUGAAAAACUCCGGUGGUAUAAGAUGGACCCGCGUUGG